Molecule: long non-coding RNA, 3386 nt
Organism: Cavia porcellus (domestic guinea pig)
Lineage: Eukaryota; Metazoa; Chordata; Mammalia; Rodentia; Caviidae
Exons: 2
Source: RefSeq, a predicted model, not a curated record
UAAAGAGAGAAGAAAAAGAAGAAGAAAAAAAGAAAGGACAUAAAAAAACAAUGCACUAAAAGGGUACAAAUAAUACAGUAUUUCUAGAAAAAAAUAUAUACAGUACGAAAUCACCAGUUAAUAGGUUGCAUAUUAUCUUCCCAGAAACAGUUGUCCAUAUCACUAAAUUAAAGCAUAUAAAGUGAACAUUCAUACAGUGAAAUUGGAGACAGUUCCGUUCAGUGAUCCAACAAAAGCUCAGUAGUAUGGUUUUCCAUCCUACACUCUCGAACAUACCUGCGGUUAUAUCCCUUAGUCCACCUUACUUUCCUCUCUUUUUUACAGUAACAAUUAGACUUUUAGGGUUUUAUUACUCUCACAGUUCUUAUUACUUUUUUGAAGAGAAUAAAACCAAAUGUGACUUACGCAAAACAGAGUCAGUUAGAACAGAAGGGUGGGCAUAGUACACGAUGCAAAAAUAGAAUAGCAGGUGAUCAAAAGUGGUUACCAUUGUGCCUCUUAGUAUUUUCAAACUGAGUUGUCUAUAUCAUCAGGUAUAAUAGAAUUGAUCAAAACAGUACAGAACAAAACCAAUAAAAUCUAUACUGAGGACCUUACAGGACUUCAAAAAAAAAAGGAUGAUAGUCAAUCUAUAUUGGGCAUCAUAGUAUAUCUUAUUGCCUUCAAAGUGAUUGCCUAUAUCCUCAAACUUGAUACUAUCAAACAAAAUAGAAUAUAUAAUAAUCAGACGGAACAAGAUGGGGAGAGCAAUACUGGGGUUCAAGUCAGGUUAAUAGGACAACAAAAAAGUUAAUAUAAUAUGUUCCGUUAUUUUUUAAUUUAGUUUUCCCUUAAUUAAAAAAAUGAGAGAAAAUAGAUUAAUUUAAAAAUAGGGGGAAAAUUGAGAUAAGAGAGGACAUUGUAAUAGAACAACGCAGGGCAGAACUGAGCAAUUCAAGCAUCAUUGUGUUUCACCACCAGAUAAUCUAACAUAAUAGUAGUUGCCAUAGUGCCUCUUUACUUAAAUUAUUUGAGUGUAACUUUGCAUGUAUAGCACCAUUUUUCAUCCUCACCAGCAACACUGAAGCUUCCAAUUUCUCCAUUUUCUCACCAGCACUCUUUAUUGUGCCUUUUCUAGACAUAAGAAUUCUCUUGGUGAAUAAUGUGGUAUUUCUUUGUGGCUUUGAGUUGCAUUUGGAGCAUAUUUUCUCCACACUUAAGAAAAAUGUGUAUUCUGCCAUUGUUGGAUGGACUGUUAAACAAUUUUUUUCAGAUCCAGUUAGUUUAUAGUGUUGUACAAGUCUUCUGUUUUUUUCUUUUUAUGAUCUUAUUCUUAGUUGUUACUUCAGUCAUUGAAAAUCAGGUAUAUUUUUUCCUUCAGUUCUGUCAUUUUUCACUUAUAUUUUGGAACUUUAGCUAGGUGCACAUGAUUAUAAUUGUUAUAUCGUCCUGUUGGAUUGCCCUUCUGUCGUUGUCACUUAUCUUUUUAUCUGUAGUAAUUUUUUUAAAGUCUAUUUUGUCCAAUAGUAAUCUAGCCUUCCUUGUUUUUAUGGCACCUGUUUACGUGAUACCCCUUAUUUUUUCAGUAUGUUGUGUUUGGAAUUUCAAGUUGUCUCAUGUAGAUGGCAUAUAAUUGGAUGUGUUAAUGCUUAAUCCAUUUACUAUAAUGUUAUUAUUGAUGUGGCUGGAUUAGGUCUACAAUAUUAGUUUUUGUUUUCUAUAUGUCUCAUAUCUUUGUUCCUACUUACUACUUUCAUUUGCAGUACAUGAAUAUUUUCUAAUUUAAUAAUUUUAAUUCCUUAAAUUAUUUUUUUCAUUAUAGUUUUAAAGUUAUUUUCUUAAUGGCUGCUUUAUGGCUUGCAUAGAAUCACCUUGAGUUUGUAUUAGCUUGUUUAGAGUGAGAUUAGAAGCCUUUCUUCAUGUAGCAGUAGGCUUCCUUCCCUUGUUUUUGUUAUGUCUAUUAUAUGUGUAUGUGUUACAAACCCAUGAAGUUGCUAUCAUAAUUAUUGCUUUAUAUAAUUUUAUUCUUUUUAAAGAAUCAGAGGCAUAAAAGUGAGCAAGGAAGAAAGGGGGCUGUUCUUCCCCAGUGGACAAGAUGCCCUUGGCUCACUCCAGUGGAGUCUGUGAGCUCAGCAUCUUGUUAGCAGCGUGUUUCCUGGAGGCCAAGGCCCCUGUGCCAAGAGCUUUUGUUUGAAGUAUUUGAAUGUGGUGUGCACUAUGCCACUUACUGGGAUGCCUCAUGAUUUAGGAAUCUUCAGUUAGAUGUAAAUGGAGGUGGUUGGAUCCUGGAACGGAGACAAAGGCUGACAGUUACCAUGUGAAGUAUAUACUACUGUGUGUCUCAGUAGCUACAUUGCAGGAAUACAGGAAACAAUCCUUGUGUUCACCCAAUUGAUAGAAGGUAUAUGCACAUGUGUCAAAGUGUCAACAGGUGAGUUUUACCCACAUUAUGUGAUGUGUUACAUUUUUGUAUAUAAUUUGAUAAAAGUUCUUUUGAUUUUUCCCUUAGAAUUAGCCAAUUCAGUACAAUGUUGCAUGAAAAUCUGCUUUUACAACUUUGGGAGGAGCUUGAAAGUGAGUUAUCAGGUGAUUCAGCUACCAGUGAUGACUUGGAUCAUGUAAGCCAAAGAAAUUGUGACAACGAGGUGGGGCAAUAUAUGACGGAUAGAGAAGUACAGAAUGAAGACCUUGAUUCAAAUGAGGAAGAAAACAGUAAUGUAAAUAAAUAUUUCACUAGUCAAAAUGCUACAAAACAGUUAUAUAUACCUGAAUGAUCCAAUGCUAGAACUGUUAGUAGGUUCUUUCCCGGGGUGAAAUUUAUUGGAUAGAAUGCCAACACUGUAAUUCAGUGUUGGAAAUUGUAACAGAUGAUAUGAUACAAAAUGAUUUGAACUAUACAAAUAAUAUAUAGCUGAAACAUUCCUUUUUCAUCUAUAGUAAUAAAAUACAUUUAUCAUGACACCUCACUAUUGGAAUGAAAGCCUUCAUAAUAAUACUUUAUUGUUCUAAUCAUCAAAAUCUAAAGCCUUUAUAGAGCAAUGACAGAUGUAGCAUUGAGAUUUUUAAAACAAUAGUGACACUCAAUUUUAUUUCCUUAAAAAUAGCUUAAUUUUGUGUGUGUGUGCUGGGCAUUGAACUCACGUGUUUUCCAGGCAGGCACUGUGCCACUGAGCUAUAUCCUCCACAAAAUAGCUUAAGUUUUGAUGACAAAAAGACCUACUAAGAGAGAAAAAAUCCAACAGUUUGGUUGCUAUUUGCUCAUUUUUUGAAAGCUUUGUUUCAAGUUGUCAAAAAAAUUGUAUACUGUCCAAAUACCUGCAAUUGACAGACAACUUCCAUCAUUUCAUGGUUGUUAAACUUUUUACAAUAAAUGCCAAAUAAAACCUUCCAAAUUUGGUAUAAAAAUA